ACUUUUCCCUAUUUCGCGAAAUAACCCUUCCACCUCUCUCAAAUUGUUUCACAGAUAAAACCUUCCACUCCCAAAAAUAUUUAUAGAAAGGUCCCUGGUUUCUCGCGGAUUAGUCCUAAACCCUCUUUUAAGCCCCUAAUACAUGUUUAACUCGUUAUUUCAUGCACCAAACUUCCUCCAAUUCACCCCAAAUUCGACCACGUCAUCCUCCAGUAUAGUUCCGCCGAUCCAUAUCCAAAUUUCCCG
Molecule: long non-coding RNA, 246 nt
Filed under: Setaria italica (foxtail millet)
Lineage: Eukaryota; Viridiplantae; Streptophyta; Magnoliopsida; Poales; Poaceae
Description: long non-coding RNA (SITA_LNC001230)
Source: RNAcentral